Molecule: small RNA, 752 nt
Filed under: Pongo abelii (Sumatran orangutan)
Lineage: Eukaryota; Metazoa; Chordata; Mammalia; Primates; Hominidae
Description: processed transcript
Source: RNAcentral
CCCCACCCAAGCCCCCGCGCCUCUACCUCCCCCAGGAGCCAACAUCCGAGGAGACUCCGCGCACCAAACGUCCCCAUAUGGAGGCUAGGACUCGACGUGGGCCAUCUCCACCAGCCUCCCCCACCAGGAAACCCCCUCGGCUUCAGGACUUCCGCUGCUUAGCUGUGCUGGGCCGGGGACACUUUGGGAAGCCUGUACUGCGAGAAGCGGAUCCUGGAGGCUGUGGGCCGCACAGGGCACCCUUUCCUGCUCUCCCUCCUUGCCUGCUUCCAGACCUCCAGCCAUGCCUGCUUUGUGACUGAGUUUGUGCCUGGUGGCGACCUCAUGAUGCAGAUCCACGAGGAUGUCUUCCCCGAGCCGCAGGCCCGCUUCUACGUGGCUUGUGUUGUCCUGGGGCUGCAGUUCUUACACGAGAAGAAGAUCAUUUACAGGGACCUGAAGUUGGAUAACCUUCUGCUGGAUGCCCAGGGAUUCCUGAAGAUUGCAGACUUUGGACUCUGCAAGGAAGGGAUCGGCUUCGGGGACCGGACUAGCACCUUCUGUGGCACCCCGGAGUUCCUGGCUCCUGAGGUGCUGACCCAGGAGGCGUAUACACGGGCUGUGGACUGGUGGGGGCUGGGUGUGCUGCUCUACGAGAUGCUGGUGGGUGAGUGCCCGUUCCCAGGGGACACAGAGGAAGAGGUGUUUGACUGCAUUGUUAACAUGGACGCCCCCUACCCCGGCUUUCUGUCAGUGCAAGGGCUUGAGCUCAU